AUUCCCUCAAAGAGCUCUGCAGUAAGUGUUUGGCUAACCCUUCAAAACAUCUUCCUGUCAGUUAAAGAUCUGACCACACACAUGUGGGUCUCCUCCUGAGUGACACAGCCCUUCAGCAGAACAAGCCGAGAGCAGAACGAAUGCUUCUGUUGAUGCUUUUAAGAAAGAAAACUACCAAAGAUACUUCUAAAAACAAAGAGGUAUCUUUUUCUGCUCCUGAACACACACGCUCCUUUGAAUAGAAUACAGUUAUUUUGGAGUAAGAAUGCUGAUAAAGUGAAGUGUUAAACAUGUCGUAUGAUAAAGUUCACUAAAUUCCUGCAAGAAUUCGUCUGUUGGAGGGCCAAGCUGCACUGCACGGUACAGAAUUAAUCACUUGAGGAAUGAAUCCCAACAAGAUUACAGUACACUUGCAUGGGUUCCUAGAGGUAUUCAAUCAACACAGUGAGAACUCCCACAGAAGAUGUAACAAGGCUGGAAUUGGGAAAAUGGGGAAUGUUACACCUGCGUGCCCUAGUGGAAGAACAACACUGACAUGCCUCCUCCUCCACUCUUCCCACAAGCAGGUAUGUCAUUAGUACAUAUGCACCCCGACAGUAGGAGUAGGAGUUAGUCUUGCUGAGACUGAGAACCAAUCUGCAACCUCUUAAUAGAAAACAAUUCUGACAAGAAGAAAAUGAAGACUGACUGAUGAACCAGACAAAACCUGUCUAAACACAGGGCUUGCAGUCUGUAAAUUCCGGCUUUCAUAUCAGAUCCCACGAAGUGUUAAGUCAAUUAAAGGGUAGGAGGUCGAAAAUCUACAGGCAAUUAAAGCCUACAAAGACUUUAUUCUGCAUUCUGUCUGUAGUAAGUGAGUGUAUGUUCUUCCUCCAUGGCAAGUACAUGGUAAAAUACACUGGCCAAAAUAAAGAUGGUGAACAGCACUGAAACAUUUUGCUUCGAUAAGAUAUGCUGGUAAGGCAGAGCUCCAGCAAAAACCUCAUCUGACAAGUGGUUAUUUGUCAAACUGAAAUUGUGGUGCUUUUCUGCAAUAACUUUCUAGAGUUGAAAGUGAGACAGGGCCAGUCAAGGGAAUACCAUUUAAUUAAUGCACCAUCACAAGUUUUGCAAUUUCUUCCAGUAAAUGGAGGUGGAUGGUUCUGAUUUUUAAGUAGUGACCCCGUAAUACAAAGCAUUUGUUAUAAUUAUCAAUUAUUGGCUCUGUUCCUUGGGUAUUUCCAUGGAUGAGCAUAUAUAUUUGAACAAUUACUAAUUAAAAAAAUAAUUAUUUCAAAUGGUCUAAAUAAUCCUAAUGAAGACCAUCAGAACUGAUUAAGUCCUGCAAAGGUGAACGCAGAAGAGUGCAACUCAGCAGCAGGAAACUGAAUUUUUUCACAGAAUUUAUGUUGGAAAAAGACAGCGCAGAGAAACUGAAAACAAUAGUUAGCACGUGCCUAACUGAUGGAGAAGUUAUUGAUAUUUAUGGGGAUAUAAAUCUUUUUAGUAACAUUCCUUAUAAAUCCUUCAGGAUUCCUGAUUCCAUUACAGAUUUUCUGGAAAUUGAUUUUGCCUGGUCUCUCAAGGAGAAAAUUCAAUAAUCAAGUCCCUCAGGCAAAUAAAAUAUUGUUUGUCAGCCUCUCAGCUUAUAAGUGAAUGGCCGUCUGCCUUUCAAACAGUUUAUUUACUUGAUGGGUGCACCUCUAUCACUAAUGGAUGAAGAGCAGCCAAUUGAGACAUCCACAGUAACUACAAAGCAUAGGCAAAUUUCAGUAAUAUAAACAGUGUGUGCUGCAGCUGUGUUUUCCUGUUUUAAAUUCCAAAAAUGUGACCAGAUCCAACUGAGAAAAAGAAUAGAAUCAUAACUGCCAGGAAUGCCACAGCAAGAGACAGGAUGCAUGCUUCAUUUUCACAAGGAAAACUGCAGGUUGCUACUCUAAAUUUGUGGCACUUGCACAGUAAUAGUUCAGUUUUGAGGAUUACCUGUAUAAAAGGCACAGUCAGCAAAACACAACACAUUAGAACUCCUGAAAGAUGUCUAAAAUAAGGUUACUUCGAAGAGUGUCACAGGUAGUUCCUACCCCAUACAGCACAGUUGGUUUAAGACAUUUGCAGGCGAAAACUUAUGAGAGAAUUAACCUCAGCUGACUUACUCAAAUAAUCAUAAAUAUCACAGAAGAUGCUCAAAUACAUGUGAUACCGCUAAGACAUACCUGAAAAAAAAACUCACAUUGCCUGAGUAUUUGCAGGGACGCAUUGCAGUAUUCAGAUAACUGAUGGGCCCACACCACAGCAAGUCACUGCAGCCACCAUGCACUCCUCUGUAGGUUUCUCAGCCCAGUGGUGCCCCAAGUCAAUCCCCCACACCACAACACACUUGGGCAGCUGUUAUGAAAAUAUCAUGGCACAGCAGCCAGCUGAGCUCAGCUAAUCUCAAAUUUUACAUCUGUACAUAGAUAGAGAUAUGGGCCUGAGAUGAACUCUCUGGCAGUUAAGGGCUCUCAGGACUUUUCUCCCAGCCAGCAUGAGUUCUGAGGUCUCAGUAGCUUUUAGGAGAUCACUAAGGGCUUGCCCUUCAAAUUGAUGCUGAGCUCCUUGUAUGGUCUUCUUCUGGAUGCUUGGUUAAAAAAACAUGGCCAGCACUAACUGUUAAAGAACAUGCCUUGUGAAGCUGUUCUGGCUCACAAAUGCUGCGGAACAUACAGAAGAACACGUAGAUUAACACUUUCUGAUGUUUUACAAUGUUCCAACUUUUCAAUAUUGUAAAAUUUGAAGAGCUGAAGAUCAGACUUUUUUAACUUUUUCAAUGAGUUUGCACUUAUAUGAUGUUAAAGCAAAACAGCUUUCAGGCAGUGAAGAGGCUUUACUAAGGAUUUUAAGUAAAUACAUAGAAUCUCUAGCUUAAGGUAGGUGCUCCAUUUCCCUCACCACAGCUGUGAGAAAUUAUAACAACGGGCAAGCUCUGGUGGAAGCUGGAAAGGUAUUCCUUGGGCACGAAUCUGAAGGGUUACUAAAAUAAAUAUCACAUUGCGCAAAAAAAGCUGAAAACCCAAAGGUAAGCUAGCUUUGUUAAGCUGCCAAGCCCCCCAUUGCAACUGCCCUCUGCUCUGCUGGGUGUUGUGGGCAUGACUUGGAAGUAGCUGUGUGAAGGUGGCAGCUGGACCUCAGCCUUCUCUCGUUCCUUGUGGCACCUCAGUUGCUCCGUCUGUGCAAUGGGACAACUAGUACUUUUCACUGCAGUCUUCUGCCACCUACAAAAGCAAAAAGGAGGCGUGCUUUUCUCUCAGCACAGGCAGGUGUUAUAAAUGUCACUGGUUGUGUAUUUUCAUUCAAAUCUAAGUGUAAAUUAUUUCUUGAAGCUGAGGAUCGGGAUGAAGGGCAGUAAAUCAAUCCGUGGUACGUUAACUUCGUGCUUGCUUACAAAACUCAAGCUGUCGUUUGCCUAUCUGACAGUUUAUGAAUGACUGGCCAAGGAGCCUUGCAAAUAGUUUCCUCAGUCAGUGAAGCAGUAAAUAACAGCAAACAGUGGUGACACUGUAAAUAAAAGCAAGGCUGUUCCGUUAAGAGGCUGCUUUUUUAGGAAAAAACAAAACAAAACAAAACUUGUGGCUCACAGCACGUACUCUUCCAUGUCCCUGUUGGUUUCCAUACUUAGUUGAGGGGGAAAAAAAGUGCAGUUUUCUUUCUUUGGGCUCCCAUGCCAAGCUUUGAACCAGGUAAGCUGAAAUCACAGCCGCAUUACCACAGUUCAGGACAGCAGAUUUCUGGCACUCAUGAGUGAUAGCAGAAUUGGAUCUGUGAAAGAAGUAAGCCUGGAAUGUGUUUCAAAACAGGAGAAUUUGGGUCCAUUUUAGGGAGUUAAGACCCUUGCUUAAAAUGUUUGGAGAUGAUGGGUUUUAAAGAGGUUUCCUAGAUGAAAGGAAAAUAGCCAGGCUUGAGAGUGAGUGGUGUGCAUCUAUAAUAACUAUGCAGGAGCAAAUGUCAACACCACUACAGUGUGAAACCAGGAGUAAAAAGUCCAUGAAAUCAACAAACUGAUUGAGGCGUGAACCUAAAAGCUGCUUCGCACCCAUGAGUACCCUGAAGUUAGGGUAAAAUGAGUGGUCUUUUCAGAUCCAGUCCUGUAAAAACACUUUGGGUGCAGUGCAGUAUUAAGUCAAAGUGGUUAAUUCUGCUGAAUCACUGCAAGGUUCAGAUCAUUACCUUUGAAGGUAAACAAAAAGGUCUUUUUUCCUACUGAACUAACAUCUAGAAUAUAAGAUCCACCAAAAGGCAGAAAAUAUGAUACUGCAUACGAUGUUAUAUAUUACAAAAAAAUAGUAAAAAUAAUCUGUUUCUAUUUGUAAAAAGUCCAUAAUUUCCACAUACAAAUAAACAAAAAGGAUAUAAAAGGAAA
Molecule: long non-coding RNA, 4375 nt
Organism: Gallus gallus (chicken)
Lineage: Eukaryota; Metazoa; Chordata; Aves; Galliformes; Phasianidae
Source: Ensembl